UUUCUACCCCAAGAUGCCGCCCCAGAUCCGGGAUGGAGACCCAGACGCCCGCCCUCAGAGUGCAGCAGGACGAUUUGUUUCAAAGUCACAAACAGGUGCUCUGUAAUGUCCACUGGAUGGAUGGAUGAAAUGGGGUAAGAAAGAAAAUCCUUAGGAUCAUUCCUCAAAAAAACAAACAGCAGCCUAAAGCAGAAAAUGGAUGAAAUUACACACCUCCUGUGCUGUUUGAACCGCGUUGGUCUGGAUUUUCUUCUGUCUCUGCCACCCCCAAAGACAGCAACACCAACUCCUCCCUUCCUCCUCAUCCUUAGCCUACUCAAUGUGAAGAUGACAAGGAAGACCUUCAUGAUGAUUCACUUUUACUUAAUGAAUGCCUUUCUCUGCCUUUAUGCCAUGGAAUGACACAGUAAGAAGGCUCUUUCUUGCCAGAUGCCAGCCACUCAAUCUUGGACUUCCCAG
RNAcentral lists this long non-coding RNA (459 nucleotides) under Homo sapiens (human). Its description in RNAcentral is "HSALNT0343886". Lineage: Eukaryota; Metazoa; Chordata; Mammalia; Primates; Hominidae. The record is from RNAcentral.